Molecule: microRNA, 19 nt
Filed under: Tribolium castaneum (red flour beetle)
Lineage: Eukaryota; Metazoa; Arthropoda; Insecta; Coleoptera; Tenebrionidae
Description: tca-miR-6008-3p
Source: miRBase by way of RNAcentral
AUUACCACGCUAGCGGAAC